This 1012-nucleotide ribosomal RNA is filed under the name Salmonella enterica subsp. enterica serovar Oranienburg. Its description in RNAcentral is "partial 23S ribosomal RNA". It matches the Rfam family "Bacterial large subunit ribosomal RNA", at positions 139 to 1191 of the family's 2925-position model. Lineage: Bacteria; Pseudomonadati; Pseudomonadota; Gammaproteobacteria; Enterobacterales; Enterobacteriaceae. The record is from RNAcentral.
UUCGACACACUAUCAUUAACUGAAUCCAUAGGUUAAUGAGGCGAACCGGGGGAACUGAAACAUCUAAGUACCCCGAGGAAAAGAAAUCAACCGAGAUUCCCCCAGUAGCGGCGAGCGAACGGGGAGGAGCCCAGAGCCUGAAUCAGCAUGUGUGUUAGUGGAAGCGUCUGGAAAGGCGCGCGAUACAGGGUGACAGCCCCGUACACAAAAGCGCAUGUGCUGUGAGCUCGAUGAGUAGGGCGGGACACGUGGUAUCCUGUCUGAAUAUGGGGGGACCAUCCUCCAAGGCUAAAUACUCCUGACUGACCGAUAGUGAACCAGUACCGUGAGGGAAAGGCGAAAAGAACCCCGGCGAGGGGAGUGAAAAAGAACCUGAAACCGUGUACGUACAAGCAGUGGGAGCACCCUUUGGGGUGUGACUGCGUACCUUUUGUAUAAUGGGUCAGCGACUUAUAUUCUGUAGCAAGGUUAACCGUAUAGGGGAGCCGGAGGGAAACCGAGUCUUAACCGGGCGUUAAGUUGCAGGGUAUAGACCCGAAACCCGGUGAUCUAGCCAUGGGCAGGUUGAAGGUUGGGUAACACUAACUGGAGGACCGAACCGACUAAUGUUGAAAAAUUAGCGGAUGACCUGUGGCUGGGGGUGAAAGGCCAAUCAAACCGGGAGAUAGCUGGUUCUCCCCGAAAGCUAUUUAGGUAGCGCCUCGUGAAUUCAUCUCCGGGGGUAGAGCACUGUUUCGGCUAGGGGGCCAUCCCGGCUUACCAACCCGAUGCAAACUGCGAAUACCGGAGAAUGUUAUCACGGGAGACACACGGCGGGUGCUAACGUCCGUCGUGAAGAGGGAAACAACCCAGACCGCCAGCUAAGGUCCCAAAGUCAUGGUUAAGUGGGAAACGAUGUGGGAAGGCCCAGACAGCCAGGAUGUUGGCUUAGAAGCAGCCAUCAUUUAAAGAAAGCGUAAUAGCUCACUGGUCGAGUCGGCCUGCGCGGAAGAUGUAACGGGGCUAAACCAUG